AGAUUGAACGCUGGCGGCAGGCCUAGCACAUGCAAGUCGAGCGGCAGCACGGGCACUUGUACCUGGUGGCGAGCGGCGGACGGGUGAGUAAUGCCUAGGAAUCUGCCUGAUAGUGGGGGAUAACGUUCGGAAACGGACGCUAAUACCGCAUACGUCCUACGGGAGAAAGUGGGGGAUCUUCGGACCUCACGCUAUCAGAUGAGCCUAGGUCGGAUUAGCUAGUUGGUAGGUAAAGCCUACCAAGGCUACGAUCCGUAACUGGUCUGAGAGGAUGAUCAGCCACACUGGAACUGAGACACGGUCCAGACUCCUACGGGAGCAGCAGUGGGAAUAUUGGACAAUGGGACAAAGCCUGAUCCAGCCAUGCCGCGUGUGUAGAAGAAGGUCUUCGGAUUGUAAAAGCUAACGUUUUAAGGUUGGGAAGGAAGGGACUAAUUAAACCUAAUUACGUUAAGUUGUUUUGACGUUACGACAGAAUAAGCAACGGCUAACUCUGUCGCAGCAACG
Molecule: ribosomal RNA, 507 nt
Filed under: uncultured soil bacterium
Lineage: Bacteria
Description: bacterial SSU rRNA
Rfam family: Bacterial small subunit ribosomal RNA
Source: RNAcentral